RNAcentral lists this ribosomal RNA (492 nucleotides) under uncultured bacterium. RNAcentral's name for it is "partial 16S ribosomal RNA". It matches the Rfam family "Bacterial small subunit ribosomal RNA", at positions 29 to 507 of the family's 1533-position model. The record is from RNAcentral.
AGUGAACGCUGGCGGUAGGCCUAACACAUGCAAGUCGAACGGCAGCACAGUAAGAGCUUGCUCUUACGGGUGGCGAGUGGCGGACGGGUGAGGAAUACAUCGGAAUCUACUUUUUCGUGGGGGAUAACGUAGGGAGACUUACGCUAAUACCGCAUACGACCUACGGGUGAAAGCAGUGGAACUUCGGACCUUGCGCGAUUGAAUGAGCCGAUGUCGGAUUAGCUAGUUGGGGGGGUAAAGGCCCACCAAGGCGACGAUCCGUAGCUGGCCUGAGAGGAUGAUCAGCCACACUGGAACUGGAACCGGGUCCAGACUCCUACGGGAGGCGGCAGAGGGGAAUAUUCGACAAUGGGGGAAAGCCUGAUCCAGCCAGACCGCGUGGGUGAAGAAGGCCUUCGGGUUGUAAAGCCCUUUUGUUGGGAAAGAAAAGCAGCAGGCUAAUACCCCGCUGUUCUGACGGUACCCAAACAAUAAGCCCCGGCUAACUACGUG